CAGACACCAGAGGAUCAUGUGUCCUGUGCUUGCAAGGCUCAUGACAAUAGUGCAGAGCUGUGUAGACUCCAUGCUUCAGUCAGAGAUGCUGGACUGAGAGAACU
Chelonoidis abingdonii (Abingdon island giant tortoise) is the source of this 104-nucleotide non-coding RNA. Lineage: Eukaryota; Metazoa; Chordata; Testudines; Testudinidae. The record is from RefSeq and is a predicted model, not a curated record.